UGUCCGGAUUUACUGGGUGUAAAGGGUGCGUAGGCGGCUUUGCAAGUCAGAUGUGAAAUCUAUGGGCUCAACCCAUAGCCUGCAUUUGAAACUGCAGAGCUUGAGUGAAGUAGAGGCAGGCGGAAUUCCCCGUGUAGCGGUGAAAUGCGUAGAGAUGGGGAGGAACACCAGUGGCGAAGGCGGCCUGCUGGGCUUUAACUGACGCUGAGGCACGAAAGCGUGGGUAGCAAACAGGAUUAGAUACCCUGGUAGUCCACGCUGUAAACGAUGAUUACUAGGUGUGGGGGGUCUGACCCCUUCCGUGCCGGAGUUAACACAAUAAGUAAUCCACCUGGGGAGUACGGCCGCAAG
RNAcentral lists this ribosomal RNA (351 nucleotides) under uncultured bacterium. RNAcentral describes it as "bacterial SSU rRNA". It matches the Rfam family "Bacterial small subunit ribosomal RNA", at positions 542 to 892 of the family's 1533-position model. The record is from RNAcentral.